This 846-nucleotide ribosomal RNA is filed under the name Umbilicaria freyi. RNAcentral describes it as "partial large subunit ribosomal RNA". It matches the Rfam family "Bacterial large subunit ribosomal RNA", at positions 882 to 1704 of the family's 2925-position model. The record is from RNAcentral. Lineage: Eukaryota; Fungi; Ascomycota; Lecanoromycetes; Umbilicariales; Umbilicariaceae.
UUAUAUACAUCAUAGCAGGUACAGAACUGUGUUCCUGUACAACUUGCAUUCUAAAAAAGUGCUCUUUGUUGAUUUCUUAGGGAUGUGAAAAUCUUAUUCGCGUGUUUUUGCACUCGGAAGGGUUAUGAUGACUAUAUAAUAAUCAGACAUAGUACGCUAAGGUAGUAUGUCUAAAGGGAAACAGCCCAGAACAAGAGUUAAUAAGGUUCCAAAAUUAUUGUUAAGUGAAAAUAAGGUAGUUUCAAUCAAAUAUGCCCAGGAGAUAGGCUUAGAUGCGGCCAUUUUUUGAAGACCUCGUAACAGAGCACUGGAUUAGUAAAUUAUUUUUAUAAUUAAUAUUGAUAAAAGCACCGAAAAUUUAACGGAUCUAAACAAUAUACCGAGACCUUGUCCAUAUUUAUAUAUAUAUCUAAGUUGUAUAUUGUAUUUAUGGGGUAGCGGAACAUUGGGCAAAUAUAAGAAUUUUUCUUUUUAAGACUUAAGAUAAUAUAACCCAAGCGAUAAUGCUGACAUGAGUAACGAUAAAGGGAAUAAACUAUUCCCUCGCCUAAAACUUAUGGUAUUUACUUAAAGUAACGGCCUCUAAGUUUAUGAGCCUAAAGGACUAAACGAUGAGAAAAUCUACUAUCUGCGAAUAAAUAACCUUUGUGAUGAGACUUAUGCGACUAAAGACGAAGUAGACGGUAAGCUUUUUUGCAAAAGUGACAAGGUUCUGGAAAAUUUAAGUGGUGCAUCAUGGAUAAUAGGGAGGACGCAAUCUCCUGCCUACCAUGGUGUAAAAAGACCGUACCUAGAAACUACCCCCAGUAAGUUAGUAGAGAUACGAAGCGUUUGAGUGACAUCAUA